Non-coding RNA from Caenorhabditis elegans, 149 nucleotides. The record is from Ensembl. Lineage: Eukaryota; Metazoa; Nematoda; Chromadorea; Rhabditida; Rhabditidae.
UAAUGUGAACUUGAGAGAGAUGCGUGACGGUACUGGAAGCGAAUCCACUUUUUUCGACAGCGCGAAGAAUCGAAUAAAAAGUUAGGACCGUAUGGGAAAUUGUUUCUAAGUUUUUGGUGCAAAAAACCAUUAGUGAUAAGGAAAACCUG